RNAcentral lists this ribosomal RNA (447 nucleotides) under uncultured bacterium. RNAcentral describes it as "bacterial SSU rRNA". It matches the Rfam family "Bacterial small subunit ribosomal RNA", at positions 355 to 825 of the family's 1533-position model. The record is from RNAcentral.
UGGGGAAUCUUGGACAAUGGGCGCAAGCCUGAUCCAGCCAUGCCGCGUGGAUGAUGAAGGCCUUAGGGUUGUAAAAUCCUUUCGUGGGGGACGAUAAUGACGGUACUCGGAGAAGAAGCUCCGGCUAACUUCGUGCCAGCAGCCGCGGUAAUACGAAGGGGGCUAGCGUUGUUCGGAUUUACUGGGCGUAAAGCGCGUGUAGGCGGGUCGUUAAGUUGGGGGUGAAAUCCCGAGGCUCAACCUCGGAACUGCCUUCAAAACUGGCGACCUGGACCUAAGUAGAGGCAAGUGGAAUUGCGAGUGUAGAGGUGAAAUUCGUAGAUAUUCGCAGGAACACCAGUGGCGAAGGCGACUUGCUGGACUUAUGGUGACGCUGAGACGCGAAAGCGUGGGGAGCAAGCAGGAUUAGAUACCCCAGUAGUCCCUGAGCGGGCUGGCAAGGCGCAU